This 305-nucleotide unclassified non-coding RNA is filed under the name plant metagenome. RNAcentral's name for it is "partial contains 5.8S ribosomal RNA, internal transcribed spacer 2, and large subunit ribosomal RNA". The stretch from base 1 to 105 matches the Rfam family "5.8S ribosomal RNA", at positions 50 to 154 of the family's 154-position model. The record is from RNAcentral.
GAAAUGCGAUAAGUAGUGUGAAUUGCAGAAUUCAGUGAAUCAUCGAAUCUUUGAACGCACAUUGCGCCCUUUGGUAUUCCAAAGGGCAUGCCUGUUCAAGCGUCAUUUGUACCCUCAAGCUUUGCUUGGUGUUGGGCGUCUUGUCUCCAGUUCGCUGGAGACUCGCCUUAAAGUAAUUGGCAGCCGGCCUACUGGUUUCGGAGCGCAGCACAAGUCGCGCUCUCUUCCAGCCAAGGUCAGCAUCCACAAAGCCUUUUUUCAACUUUUGACCUCGGAUCAGGUAGGGAUACCCGCUGAACUUAAGC